RNAcentral lists this ribosomal RNA (102 nucleotides) under Eubacteriaceae bacterium. Lineage: Bacteria; Bacillati; Bacillota; Clostridia; Eubacteriales; Eubacteriaceae. The record is from RNAcentral.
CAAAGGGGUCACACCUGUUACAUACCGAACACAGAAGUAAAGUCCUUUAGCGUCGAAAGUACUUGGUGGGCGACUGCCCGGGAGGAUAGAACGUUGCGUGGU